AAUUCAGAGUAACAACUCAAUAAAAUCAGGAAAAUAAUAACUGAUGAAAUUGAGAACUUAAUAUAAUGAAAUUAUAAAAACAAGACAUUUUGGCCUCCAAAUAUAACAAAUGAAAUAAAAACAAAUGCAACAGCAAGUGUCAAUAACAGAAUUAAUCGAGUAGGAGAAAAAAAAUCUAUUGAAUAUUUGAAAAUACAUGGUGGGGGAAGGAAAAGGAAUGAAAAGAAGAAAUCUUAUGGAAUUUGUGGGGAAGCAAAAAGAAAGCAAAUACUCAAAUUAUAAGGACUAAAGAGGGAGAAUGAGACACAAAGGAAGAGAGAACUUAAAGAAGUAACAAAAACAUUUCCAAAUCUUGGGAAGAUAUAAGUAGUGCAGGAAGAUCAAAGGUCUCCAGUUAGAGUCAAUCCAAACAGAACUACAUCAAGACUUGUUAUAAAAAGACUAUAACUGAAUCAUCAGAAAUGGAAGACAGAGAGAGGACUCUGAGGCAAAGAAGGCAAAGGUAAAGAAGCCAACAAAAUAGAAGGGAGUUCUAAUAAGGCUAACAGCAGAUGUAUCAGUAGAAACCUUUAUAGACCAGGCAAGAGUGGGAUGAUAUACUCAAAGGGCUGAAGAAAGAUCUGCCAAACAAGAAAACUGUACCUGGCAAAGCUGUUCUUCAGAAGUGAAAGACAAAGAAUUUCCCAAACCAAAGCUAAAGGAGUUCAUCACUGUCAGACCACUCUUAUACGAAAUGCCAAGGAGAGUUUUUCAAACUGGGGGAAAAAAAAAAAGCGCUAACUAGUAACAUGGAAACUUCUUACUUAAAAACAAUAGCUAUCAUAAUUUGUUGUGGGACACAUAGUACA
This 848-nucleotide long non-coding RNA is filed under the name Marmota monax (woodchuck). Lineage: Eukaryota; Metazoa; Chordata; Mammalia; Rodentia; Sciuridae. The record is from RNAcentral.